This 228-nucleotide ribosomal RNA is filed under the name uncultured bacterium. RNAcentral's name for it is "partial 16S ribosomal RNA". It matches the Rfam family "Bacterial small subunit ribosomal RNA", at positions 118 to 346 of the family's 1533-position model. The record is from RNAcentral.
UGAGCAAUCUGCCUAGAUGUGGGGGAUAGCCGGCCCAACGGCCGGGUAAUACCGCAUACGCUCUCCUGGUGGCAUCACCGGGUGAGGAAACUUUCGAGGCGUCUAGAGGAGCUCGCGGCCUAUCAGCUAGUUGGUGAGGUAAUGGCUCACCAAGGCUUUGACGGGUAGCUGGUCUGAGAGGAUGGCCAGCCACAUUGGGACUGAGAUACGGCCCAGAUCCGUACGGGG